This 504-nucleotide ribosomal RNA is filed under the name uncultured bacterium. Its description in RNAcentral is "partial 16S ribosomal RNA". It matches the Rfam family "Bacterial small subunit ribosomal RNA", at positions 29 to 523 of the family's 1533-position model. The record is from RNAcentral.
AUUGAACGCUGGCGGCAGGCCUAACACAUGCAAGUCGAACGGUAGCACAGAGAGCUUGCUCUCGGGUGACGAGUGGCGGACGGGUGAGUAACGUCUGGGAAACUGCCCGAUGGAGGGGGAUAACUACUGGAAACGGUAGCUAAUACCGCAUAACGUCGCAAGACCAAAGUGGGGGACCUUCGGGCCUCACACCAUCGGAUGUGCCCAGACGGGAUUAGCUAGUAGGUGGGGUAAUGGCUCACCUAGGCGACGGUCCCUAGCUGGUCUGAGAGGAUGAACAGCCACACUGGAACUGAGAAACGGGCCAGACACCUACGGGAGGCAGCAGUGGGGAAUAUUGCAUAAUGGGCGCAAGCCUGAUGCAGCCAUGCCGCGUGUAUGUAGAAGGCCUUCGGGUUGUAAAGUACUUUCAGCGGGGAGGAAGGCGGUGAAGUUAAUAGCUUCACCGAUUGACGUUACCCGCAGAAGAAGCACCGGCUAACUCCGUGCCAGCCGCCGCAGUAA